CUAGGCAGAUUUUGGCAAAUUACCUGAAUACACUUAAAGGUUCAGCUUCAGUUGGACCAAACACUUAAUGUCCUUUGUUAUUAAAGAAAUGGCCUUAGAGGACAAUGAACCUUAGACCAAGGAUUCAGAAUUUUCCCAAACCUUACAGUCUGUUAUGGUUUGAAUGUUUGUCUCCUCCAAAGCUCAUGUUGAAAUUUAAUGGUCUGGCCAGUGCCACAGCUCACUUGGCUAAUCCUCUGCCUGUGGCACCAACACCCCAAGUUCUAGCUCUCGUUGGGGUGCUGGAUUCUGUUCCAGUUGCUCCUCUUCCAGUCCAGCUCUCUACUGUGGCCUGGGAGUGCAGUGGAGGAUGGCCCAGGUCCUUGGGCCCUUGCACUCAUGUGGGAGACCAGGAAGAGGCUCCUGGCUCCUGGCUCCUGGCUUCGGAUUGGCACAGCUCCAGCCAUUGUGGCCAUCUAGGGAGUGAACCACCACAUGGAAGACCUCACUCUCUGUCUGUACCUCUCUCUAACUCUGCCUGUCAAAUAAAUAAAAUCUUAAAAAAAGUAAUAAAAAGGAAAGAAAAAGAAAAUGAGUUAGCUGAACUGGGGAACUGAUAUCUUCCCACAUCUCCCAAUUUGUACAUCACACCUCAGUUCUAGGUGCCAACAUUCUCAUUAGAAUGUAUCCAUGGCCUUUGGUCACUCUGCCUAGGGAUAGGCCAAAGAACAUGUUACCCCUAGAAGGACUGUCAUAUAGAUCCAUUUCUUCUCUGUCCUAUUUCCCUUGAUUACUCUUGAAUCUAUCCCAUGGCACCAUUUCCCUGAUGGGCGGGGCUACUCACUGCCCAGAGGGGCAGGGCAUGUUGAUGUCAUAAGGGACCCUGUGACACAGGCUGGCCUAUAAAAGCAGCUGUAGUCCUGGACACCUACCAGUCGCUGAUUCUGACUUCUGGACGCAGGACAGAAUGACAGAUAAGACUAAAAAAAGUUUUGCCUCCCAAGACCAUAUUCCCCCUUAUUCCGUAUCUUCCCUCUGGCCUGACCCUGCUGAUCCUGAACCCUGGCUUCACCUGUCUAUUCCUCCGCCCCAGACUGACCCCCCUAAAUCUAUAUUUGAAUCUUACCACCCUGCAUUUCUGAACUGGCCUUAUCCUCCUCUGCACCCUCUACUCCAUCCCAACUAUCCAUCCUUCCCUCGUGUCCCUUCGCACCAGACCAAAGCCCCAGGUCCUGCAUCUGGAUCUCACCCUCCUCCUAGUGCCCUGCCCACAUCUGACUCUGCUUCUCCUCUCCCGGACCCUCCUCCCGGACCAGUGUUUGAGCCUUUCCCUCCUCCUGCUCCUCCUUACUUGCCCCACCCUCCUUCUGAUCCUGCACCCCAACCUGGCCCUGCUCCUGCCCCUCCAGCUUCCCGUCGUGGGCUUCCACAAAACCCUCUUCCUGCUCCUAGUUCCUCCCUCAAGUCUCAUCCCCCUUGUCAUAGGAAACACCAGCCAUGCCCUUCUGUCACUAAACCUAAACCCCGCCCACCCCCUGCUCCCAAGCACAAGCCUCGCCCUCCUACAUGUAAACCCAAGUCCAAACCUCCCCCAGAUGUUCCUCUCUGCCUUCCUUUCCCCUGCGGCCGUGAUCUACGCAAACGCUUCCUAGCCCUUCUUUCUCAACACCCUCACCCUUCUCCUACCCUUUUACACCUACACCACCUUCCUGUCACUGCCCUUCAUAAACCUCGUCUCUCGUCCAGCCUAUCUCCACAGCGCCACCUUCCUUCAGUCCGUUCAACUUGGCGCGAACCUUUCAUUGCCCCUAUACACCGCCCUCACCCUCCUCCUGGUCCCCCAGCCCGCUCUCCACGUUCUGCUGCUUCUCGGCGCCAUCUUCGGCUUUCCUCUAGUCUCUCUCCGCAACGCCACCCUCCUUCUGUCCCCUCCCGUCGGCGCCACCCUCCUACUACAUCUGUGCAGCACCCUCACCCUCCUGGUCCCCCAGCCCGCUCUCGGCGUCCUGCUGCUUCUCCGCUCUGUGCUCGCCUGCCUUCUGAUCCUGCACCCAAGCCUCGCACUCCUCCUGCUGCUCUCUCCCAGCCUCAGCCUCACCCUCCUUCUGACCCUCCUCCCAAGUCUUACCCUCAUUUUCGUUCUCCUUAUCAGUCAUUUCCUCUUUUUCUUCCACUCCAGCCUCUUGUUGCUGCGCCCCAGCCUGUCCGUCUUUCUGCUCCGUCCUUCCAGCCUCACCCUCCUCCGUAUCCUCCAUCUCAGCCCCGUGCUGCUCCUCCUCCUCACCCUCCUGACCAUGCUCACCUGCGCUCUGUACCUCGACGCUUGCCUCGCCCCCCUGCUCGUCCAUCCCAGCCUGACCGCUCCUCAGGCUCUUCCUUCCCGCCCCACCCUCGCUAAGGUCCUUCUCCCUAGCCUCACCCUCCUCUUCCUCCACCUCCUCCCUCUCAUUCCUCCAUAGCCACCUCAACCUUCUACGACUAUGUCCUGUCUGCCCAUUUGUCUCCCACACCAGCCUGAUCUUCCACACUGUUCUUACCUUCCGUAUGACCUCUCGCUUCAGUCUUGCCCUGCCUCAGGCCCGUCAAAUUAUAAUCCUCUAAUCUACCCUCCUCCAGGUCUCCUCACUUUGUCAUCUUUUUCCAUCCCUGACAAAUGAUACCCCUUCCCAGCACCUGACCUUAUUCACUCCACACCCAGCUCCUCAAGAUUCUGUUCCUAAUCGUACCUAACCUGCUCAUGGCCCUGUGUUAUCCUACCUGUUCCUACUCAGCCUCUAUGUUAUCCCCAACUCCUCCUUCUUACUAGUCCUCUAGACCCUAACACACCCCCACCCACUUGUGAUCCUGUCACCCCAUCCGUACCUACUGGUUCACACUGCCACAGUUCUGGUGAAGCUCCCCGUUAUGACAACCGGACUUCCAGAAACAUGAUGAGCUGAGCAGCAACCAAUGGCCAAGCCCUGCAGGCGUAGAGACAGGUAACAUGUAGUCACACAUAUUUUGUGUAUGAGAUCAGCAGAGGGUUCAUACUCUGGGCAUCUGUUGUAAAGUGUGAGAUGUUUGACUUCCUCCAAAAUCUUUUUCAGCAGAUUGGCCUACCUGAAGUCUAGUCAGCGGGUGACCACUUCUUUCUUCUGCCACAUAACCCCAAGCUCUAUUCUGGUGGUAUCCAGAAGUGGCCCAGUAGCCAAGUCAUAUCUGAGCAGCUGGGUCAGGAGAGGAUUCUAGCUUCCUCUAGCAUCUUCUUUUAAGAAGUGAUUGGCCCAGAUGAAGUCUGGUCAUGAAGUCCCUCUAUUUCCUGGGUCUGCCACAUGACAAAAGGGAUUUGAAUUCAAGAGAGAUCCAGAUCUGCUUGCCAGUUGAUCAACUGAGUGUUCAUGUCGAUGAAGGUGGAUGGGCUUGUCUGGCCUGCAAAGAGAAAUGGAUUAUUUGGAAGAUUUCUCUGUCACCUAUUACUAAG
Molecule: non-coding RNA, 3439 nt
Organism: Oryctolagus cuniculus (rabbit)
Lineage: Eukaryota; Metazoa; Chordata; Mammalia; Lagomorpha; Leporidae
Source: RefSeq, a predicted model, not a curated record